This 460-nucleotide ribosomal RNA is filed under the name uncultured bacterium. Its description in RNAcentral is "partial 16S ribosomal RNA". It matches the Rfam family "Bacterial small subunit ribosomal RNA", at positions 338 to 795 of the family's 1533-position model. The record is from RNAcentral.
CCUACGGGUGGCAGCAGUGAGGAAUAUUGGUCAAUGGCCGUAAGGCUGAACCAGCCAAGUAGCGUGAGGGAAGACGGCCCUAUGGGUUGUAAACCUCUUUUAUGCGGGGGUAAAGGUGUCCACGUGUGGAUCUUUGCAGGUACCGGAUGAAUAAGGACCGGCUAAUUCCGUGCCAGCAGCCGCGGUAAUACGGAAGGUGCGGGCGUUAUCCGGAUUUAUUGGGUUUAAAGGGGGCGUAGGCCGGGCUUGAAGCGUGCCGUGAAAUUUUGUGGCUCAACCACGGGAGUGCGGCGAGAACUGGAGACCUUGAGUGCGCGGAAGGCAGGCGGAAUGCGUGGUGUAGCGGUGAAAUGCUUAGAUAUCACGCAGAACCCCGAUUGCGAAGGCAGCAUGCCGCAGCGUUACUGACGCUGAAGCACGAAAGCGUGGGUAUCGAACAGGAUUAGAUACCCUAGUAGUC